This 253-nucleotide ribosomal RNA is filed under the name uncultured bacterium. Its description in RNAcentral is "partial 16S ribosomal RNA". It matches the Rfam family "Bacterial small subunit ribosomal RNA", at positions 524 to 776 of the family's 1533-position model. The record is from RNAcentral.
UACGAAGGGGGCUAGCGUUGCUCGGAAUCACUGGGCGUAAAGCGCACGUAGGCGGCUUCUUAAGUCAGAGGUGAAAUCCUGGAGCUCAACUCCAGAACUGCCUUCGAUACUGGAAAGCUCGAGUCCGGGAGAGGUGAGUGGAACUGCGAGUGUAGAGGUGAAAUGCGUAGAUAUUCGCAAGAACACCAAUAGCGAAGGCGGCUCACUGGCCCGGUACUGACGCUGAGGUGCGAAAGCGUGGGGAGCAAACAGG